AUUGAUUGGGUAUCAAACUCUUUCAUAAAUUUGAAGGGUAAACAUAAUCGAAACAACAAUUAAAAAAAUUUGUAAGAGGUUCAGAUUCAUUUUCGUCCAACAUGAGAAGAAGACAUCAUAUGUCUACCUUCUUCUUGCCUAGAUCCAACCUAAGAGGUACACAUGGCUGCAGUGGUUGCUACAUGGGCCAUCCAAACUGCCCCGCCAUCAACCUGUUUUGGUUGGAAAACAGAGCAUUGAAGAGAGGAGACAAUGAUCAUGCUUCAUCCAUACCAUAUGGAUCUAGGCUUCAGCAUCACCAUGAACAGUCAAUCGAACACCAAAAUGGUGAAUGAUCGAAACCAUCAUUUAUUUUAAUUUCAUCAUCAUCACCUCUUAGUGAAUCAACAGAAGUAGUAAGAAAUUAACCAAGCACUAUGAAGAGAAAAUUAGGGAGAAAAUAAAUCUUCAAUAUUAGAAAGAGAAAAAAGAAGAGCGAAGUCAAUUAUUUCAAAAACAUCAAUUAUUUCCUCAUCGCAAGACUACAUCUUCAGCAUCACCAUGAACAACCAAUCUGAGUUCGAACACCAACAUGGUAAAUGGUCGAAACCAUCAUUUAUUUUAAUUUCAUCAUCAUCACCUCUUACUGAAUCAAUAGAAAUAGUAAGAAACUAAGCAAACAAUGUGAAGGGAAAAUUAGGNNN
RNAcentral lists this long non-coding RNA (683 nucleotides) under Musa acuminata (dwarf banana). RNAcentral's name for it is "long non-coding RNA (MACU_LNC010454)". The record is from RNAcentral. Lineage: Eukaryota; Viridiplantae; Streptophyta; Magnoliopsida; Zingiberales; Musaceae.